UACGGAAGGCAGCAGUGGGGAAUAUUGCACAAUGGGCGCAAGCCUGAUGCAGCCAUGCCGCGUGUAUGAAGAAGGCCUUCGGGUUGUAAAGUACUUUCAGUCGUGAGGAAGGUGUUAAGGUUAAUAACCUUAGCAAUUGACGUUAGCGACAGAAGAAGCACCGGCUAACUCCGUGCCAGCAGCCGCGGUAAUACGGAGGGUGCGAGCGUUAAUCGGAAUUACUGGGCGUAAAGGGCACGCAGGCGGUUAAUUAAGUUGGAUGUGAAAUCCCCGGGCUUAACCUGGGAAUGGCAUUCAAGCUGGUUAGCUAGAGUCUUGUAGAGGGGGUAGAAUUCCAUGUGUAGCGGUGAAAUGCGUAGAGAUGUGGAGGAAUACCGGUGGCGAAGGCGGCCCCUGGGACAAAGGACUGACGCUCGAUGUGCGAAAGCGUGGGGAGCGAAACAGGGAUUAGAUACCCGU
RNAcentral lists this ribosomal RNA (459 nucleotides) under uncultured bacterium. RNAcentral describes it as "bacterial SSU rRNA". It matches the Rfam family "Bacterial small subunit ribosomal RNA", at positions 340 to 789 of the family's 1533-position model. The record is from RNAcentral.